This 463-nucleotide ribosomal RNA is filed under the name uncultured bacterium. RNAcentral describes it as "bacterial SSU rRNA". It matches the Rfam family "Bacterial small subunit ribosomal RNA", at positions 27 to 507 of the family's 1533-position model. The record is from RNAcentral.
CGAGGAGACGCUGGCGGCGUGCUUAACACAUGCAAGUCGAGCGGUAAGGCCCCUUCGGGGGUACACGAGCGGCGAACGGGUGAGUAACACGUGAGCAAUCUGCCCUUCACUUUGGGAUAACUCUGGGAAACGAGAGCUAAUACCGAAUACGACCACUUCAGGCAUCUGAUGGUGGUGGAAAGUUCCGGCGGUGAAGGAUGAGCUCGCGGCCUAUCAGCUAGUUGGUGGAGUAACGGCCCACCAAGGCUUCGACGGGUAGCCGGCCUGAGAGGGUGUACGGCCACACUGGAAUUGAGAUGCGGUCCAGACUCCUACGGGAGGCAGCAGUGGGGGAUUUUGGACAAUGGGCGAAAGCCUGAUCCAGCGACGCCGCGUGGAGGACGAAGCCCUUCGGGGUGUAAACUCCUUUUCUCAGGGAAAAAGGAUGAUGGUACCUGAGGAAUAAGCCCCGGCUAACUACGUG